UUUUAAUUCAAAUCUAAAGUUUGGUCGUUGAAAAGAUAUUUUUCAGAAUGUCCCAAGCUUUGCACAUCCUAAGCUCAUGUGCUAUUUUAAAUCUUAAGCUCAUGUGCUACUCUAAAUCUAAAGUUACAAGCCUCGUUAGGAGUCCACCUCGGUUCCUUCAUGAUAUUUAUCCGGUGCAAAAAGAAACCUACGUACUUUGCAACAUAUACGCCACAAUCGUCUAAAUUAUAUUGUGUCGGCCUAUUCACACAGACUUCAACUUUCGGCUUCGAUAUUGGCACUUUGUUGUAGGAUUUGCUUGACGAAGCAACAAAGGAAUUAACUCCACCUGUAAACCACAAAGCCAUCAUUUAAUUCCCAAUAUACAAUAUAUGUAUGUGUAAUGACAUGAAAACAAAUAAUAUACCCAAGACAUGUGCCCAUAACCAACCAUUGGAUCUCAGACAGUUCACAUCCUUAAACUCUAAGUUGUAUAGACCGCCUAGAUGGAUACGAGGAAAGUUUGAUGGGUCGUGAGUUGGACUAAAUCAAUGGUGAUUUAACCAAGUGAUUUUCUCAAUCUUUAAGUAAUUAACAAAGUGAGUGUGCUUUGUUAC
Molecule: long non-coding RNA, 596 nt
Filed under: Panax ginseng (ginseng)
Lineage: Eukaryota; Viridiplantae; Streptophyta; Magnoliopsida; Apiales; Araliaceae
Description: long non-coding RNA (PGIN_LNC010680)
Source: RNAcentral